AUGGAGGAUGUAGAAGCCGCGCUCCUAAGGGCGGGGAUAGCGGCGGACCCUGAUCUUGAAGCAGCGAUGCAAGCUCCUGUUACUGUUAUGCUGGGUCCCUCGGCCCUCCUCCUCCGGGAACUCGAUUCUUCCGGACAGAGUCUUCUCGGUGCGGAGGAGCUUCGUCUUCUUAGAGAUGCUCUCAGCGAAGUAUGCAUCCCCCUGAAGAAUAUGUCGGAAGAUGACGGCGCUAGCUUCAUGGCCAGGUGGUGGAUGAAGAUAGUUCGGGAGCUUUGUUAUGACACGCAGGAUUACCUCAACUUCGUCCAAAGUGCUCGAGAUCGUCGUGAUUUUUCAGAGUUGCCUGAUCGUGCCAAGGCUGUUUAUUCAGGCUUACUUGCUCGUGCCAUGGAUGCGAGGGAAAGACGCAGAGGUUUCCAGUGGUCUCCCAAGACCGCCAGGCCUGACACGCAGGAAGCCCGCGACCGCCGCAUCUCCAAAAUAUUGGCCCGGAUGCCGGGUUCCUUCGGUGUCCGUAGUACCACACCCGGUGCCGUGGUCGUGGAGGCCCCAAACAAGCUUGUCGAGCUGCUAGCUUUAGACGACGAUGUCGACGACAAGACACUCAAGGUGAUACCUAUAAUUGGAUGUGCAGGUGUUGGAAAGACAACAGCUGCCAGAACCUUGUAUCACAAGCAUGGAGGGAAAUUUCAGUGCCGGGCUUUCGUAAGUGUGUCUCCAAAUCCAGAUAUGAGGGGGAUCCUCACCAGCAUGCUCUCACAACUCAAGGCACCAAGACCCCCUGGUUUUCCUGAUGUGCUGGACCUUAUUGGUGCUAUCAGCAAGCAUCUCCAAGGCAAAGGGUACUUCAUCGUACUUGAUGAUUUAUGGACUGCAUCCGUAUGGCAUAUUGUUAGCCGCGCUUUUCCUCGUGGUGAUCAACGCAGCAGAAUAAUAACAACUACACAAGUGCAUGACGUAGCGCUGGCAUGCUCUGGUUAUCACUCGGUCCGUAUAUAUAAGAUGGAACUUCUUGAUGAAUAUGAAUCUCGAAAGUUAUUCUUCCGUGGGGUGUUUAGCUCUGCCCCUGGGGCUGGUUGUUCUCCAGCUACCAAAGAAGUCUCAUACGAGAUUAUCAGAAAAUGUGAAGGUUUGCCAUUAGCAAUUGUAAGUAUAGCCGGUCUGUUAGCAAGCGAAUCAAGAAUCGUCAUGGAAGAUUGGAAGAACAUACAGAAUUCUUUUUCCUCUACUUCCGAAGGGAUGAACGAUGUUUUAAACCUUAUCUACAAUAGUCUUCCACCUGGUUUGAGGACAUGCUUGCUAUAUCUGAGUAUGUAUCCACAGGGCUACGUGAUGAAGAAGGCUGAGUUGGUGAGGCACUGGGUAGCCGAAGGUUUUUUCGGUGAUGUGGAAGGGACAGUCACAUUGAAAAUUGCUGAGUGUUAUUUUGAUGAGCUUGUCAGCAGAGCAAUGGUCCAAGCAGUGGACACCAAUCAUAUUGGUGAGGUGUUGUCAUGUACGGUUCACCAUUUGGUACUGGAUUUUAUUAGGUCCAAAUCCUUGGAUGAGAAUUUUGUCACCACUGUGGACUAUUCUGAAUCAAUUCUAGCAAACACUGACAAAGUUCGUCGAUUAUCCAUCCAGUUUGGAGGGGUAAAAAGCGCAUACAUUCCAGAAACCAUCGUAACAUCGAAAGUUCGGUCACUUGCAUAUUGGGGUUUCUUCAAGUGUGCGCCUCCUUCCAUUAUGGAUUAUGGAUUUCUUCGUAUUCUGAAUCUUCAUAUUUGGGCUGAUGAAGACAAUGAGAUUUUUGACCUCAUUGGAAUCACAAAGCUUUCUCUUCUGAAGUAUCUCAAGAUUGAAUGUAAUAUCACCGUCAAACUUCCAGACAGGAUUGGAAUGCUCCGAUACUUGGAGACACUGGAAGUAGAUGCAAGAUUGUUUGCUGUUCCAUCAGAUAUGGAUAAUCUGGAGAGGUUACUGCACCUUCGCCUUCCGAGCGAGUCUAUUCUGCCCCAAGAAGUUGCCCGCGUGAGAUCUGUACGCUCUCUGGGGUAUCUUGACCUUAGCUAUUGCUCACCACUGAAUUUGUUAGAUCUUGUACGGCUGACCAAUCUCCAGGAUCUUCACCUCACCUGUUAUACUGUUCAGCCAGCUCACCUUCCGAGCGAGUCUAUUCUGCCUCAAGGAGUAGCCCACAUGUCAUCUCAUCGCAUGUCAUAUUUUGGUAUCAUCCGUUCCAUAACAUGGAAUUAUAACCUCCAGGAUCUCGAGCCCACCUGUUCUAUGGUACAGGGAGCAGAAACUCUGAAAAAGAAUGUGCAAAUCUUAGGCUCGAUUGUUGAGAAGUUUAGCUACUUGCACACCAUAACUUUGGUGCCUGCUUCAGUCUCCUCUCAUGAGGAUGAUGCUCAGGCUGCACCUGCAAGCAUAAUUAUUCCCCCUGAUGGCUUUGACAUGGCGUCUCCUCCUCCAGACCUGCUUCUACAGAGGAUCGAGCUGUCGCGACACUGCUGCAUCUUCUUCUGCAUACCUAAGUGGUUUGGAGAGCUAAGGAAACUCUGCAUCCUAAAGAUUGCAAUUAGGAGUCUGUCGAGGAGUGAUAUCGAGAUCCUGGAAAGAAUGCCGGCCCUCGCUGCUCUCACCCUGCACAAUCAGACAACUCCCACAGAAAAGAUGAUCAUGACUGACGGGGGAUUCUAUAGACUCACGUGCUUCAAGUUCUUGUGCGCUGCACCAUGCCUGUCAUUUGCACAGGGAGCAAUGCGCAGACUCCAAAAGCUCAACCUAGGAUUCAACUCAAAAGAAUGGAGAUCGGAUACCAUUGAAACUGUUGGCUUGAGUCACUUGAGAAGCCUUACGGAUGUAUGUGUAAGACUUGGUGCUGGGGCUGCUGACAACUUCAACGUAAAAGUUGCCGAGUCGGCAUUGGAGGCUGUCGUCAGGAAUCACCCCAACUCUCCCAGGAUCAGAAUAAAACUUGCGGAUGUGAUUUUUAUGGUGAGGAGGAUGAGAGGACCGUGA
This 3003-nucleotide ribosomal RNA is filed under the name Triticum aestivum (bread wheat). Its description in RNAcentral is "partial small subunit ribosomal RNA". Lineage: Eukaryota; Viridiplantae; Streptophyta; Magnoliopsida; Poales; Poaceae. The record is from RNAcentral.